GAUGAACGCUGGCGGCGUGCCUAAUACAUGCAAGUCGAGCGAACGGACGAGAAGCUUUCUUCUCUGAUGUUAGCGGCGGACGGGUGAGUAACACGUGGAUAACCUACCUAUAAGACUGGUAUAACUUCGGAAAACCGGAGCUAAUACCGGAUAAUAUUUUGAACCGCAUGGUUCAAAAGUGAAAGACGGUCUUGCUGUCACUUAUAGAUGGAUCCGCGCUGCAUUAGCUAGUUGGUAAGGUAACGGCUUACCAAGGCAACGAUGCAUAGCCGACCUGAGAGGGUGAUCGGCCACACUGGAACUGAGACACGGUCCAGACUCCUACGGGAGGCAGCAGUAGGGAAUCUUCCGCAAUGGGCGAAAGCCUGACGGAGCAACGCCGAGUGAGUGAUGAAGGUCUUCGGAUCGUAAAACUCUGUUAUUAGGGAAGAACAUAUGUGUAAGUAACUGUGCACAUCUUGACGGUACCUAAUCAGAAAGCCACGGCUAACUACGUG
RNAcentral lists this ribosomal RNA (497 nucleotides) under uncultured bacterium. RNAcentral describes it as "partial 16S ribosomal RNA". It matches the Rfam family "Bacterial small subunit ribosomal RNA", at positions 28 to 507 of the family's 1533-position model. The record is from RNAcentral.